AUCGCUUCCCGGCCUUUUGGCUAAGAUCAAGUGUAGUAUCUGUUCUUAUCAGUUUAAUAUCUGACACGUCCUCUAUCUGAGGACAAUAUAUUAAAUGGGUUUUUGGAGCAUGGAGAUGGAAUAGGAGCUUGCUCCGUCCACUCCAUCAUCGACCCGUAUUGCAGUACCUCUGGGAACGGUGCACACACA
Molecule: small nuclear RNA, 189 nt
Filed under: Myotis brandtii (Brandt's bat)
Lineage: Eukaryota; Metazoa; Chordata; Mammalia; Chiroptera; Vespertilionidae
Description: U2 spliceosomal RNA
Rfam family: U2 spliceosomal RNA
About the family: U2 is a small nuclear RNA (snRNA) component of the spliceosome (involved in pre-mRNA splicing). Complementary binding between U2 snRNA (in an area lying towards the 5' end but 3' to hairpin I) and the branchpoint sequence (BPS) of the intron results the bulging out of an unpaired adenosine, on the BPS, which initiates a nucleophilic attack at the intronic 5' splice site, thus starting the first of two transesterification reactions that mediate splicing.
Source: Rfam by way of RNAcentral